Long non-coding RNA from Ipomoea nil (Japanese morning glory), 122 nucleotides. RefSeq lists it as uncharacterized. Lineage: Eukaryota; Viridiplantae; Streptophyta; Magnoliopsida; Solanales; Convolvulaceae. The transcript has 3 exons. The record is from RefSeq and is a predicted model, not a curated record.
AAUGUACUUUCCAGGGUGUGAAUUUUAUCUCUAAAACUCGCAAACAGAGAACUUCACAGGGAAAAUAGUUUUGUAUCUUGUGUCAAACGUAAGAUCAGAUGGCUGCCUUUCACUAAUCUUAC